AACGAACGCUGGCGGCAUGCCUAACACAUGCAAGUCGAACGAGACCUUCGGGUCUAGUGGCGCACGGGUGCGUAACGCGUGGGAACCUGCCCUUAGGUUCGGAAUAACUCCCCGAAAGGGGUGCUAAUACCGGAUAAUGUCUUCGGACCAAAGAUUUAUCGCCUUUGGAUGGGCCCGCGUUGGAUUAGCUAGUUGGUAGGGUAAAAGCCUACCACGGCGACGAUCCAUAGCUGGUCUGAGAGGAUGAGCAGCCACACUGGGACUGAGACACGGCCCAGACUCCUACGGGAGGCAGCAGUGGGGAAUAUUGGACAAUGGGCGAAGGCCUGAUCCAGCAAGGCCGCGUGAGUGAUGAAGGCCUUAGGGUUGUAAAGCUCUUUUACCCGGGAUGAUAAUGACAGUACCGGGAGAAUAAGCGCCGGCUAACUCCGUG
Molecule: ribosomal RNA, 433 nt
Filed under: uncultured bacterium
Lineage: Bacteria
Description: partial 16S ribosomal RNA
Rfam family: Bacterial small subunit ribosomal RNA
Source: RNAcentral